GUGCUCGCUUCAGCAGCACCUAUAUGAAAACUGGAACUAUACAGAGAAGAUUAACAUGGCCCCUGUGCAAGGAUGACAGGCAAAUUAUGUGAAGCAUUCCAUUUAAAA
Molecule: small nuclear RNA, 108 nt
Organism: Cebus imitator (Panamanian white-faced capuchin)
Lineage: Eukaryota; Metazoa; Chordata; Mammalia; Primates; Cebidae
Source: Ensembl